Callithrix jacchus (white-tufted-ear marmoset) is the source of this 14497-nucleotide non-coding RNA. Lineage: Eukaryota; Metazoa; Chordata; Mammalia; Primates; Cebidae. The record is from RefSeq and is a predicted model, not a curated record.
UCAGCGUCCCAAAUAGCUGGGAUCACAGGCACAUGAAACCAGCACCCCCCCACUACUAGCUAACUUUUAAUUAAAAUUUUUUUUCCAUAUAGAUAGGGCCUCAUUGUGUUGUGGUCUCAAACUCCUGGCCUCAAGUGAUCCUCCUGCCUCAGCCUCCCAAAGUGUUGGGAUUAUAGGCGUGAGCCUCUGUGCCCGGCCUAAAAAAUAAUGUUAAAUAAAAAAAGGUCCCAGCUCGUUUCCUUCUUCUACUUUCCAUGGUAUCCAUUAGUGGAUGCUGUUGACCUACCGCUGCAGCCCCUUCAUGCCCCGGAGAACUGUGGGAGUAGCUCUCUUGCUGUCUGACUGUGGGGUCAAAGGGUCUGCUCACCUUGCUUGUCUUUUUCGGCUUACCUGUCUGCCUCACUAGAUCUGACCUGCAUGCCUUUAUCCAGCUGGGCCUAGUGGCCCUUGAUUUCAGCUAUUUAAGAGGUCAGGGAUCGGUUUCCUUCUGAGAGUAGAGGUGACCUGAGAGGGAAAAGGUGGGCCCCACAGAGAACUCCCCACCUAGGCCACCUCCUCUCUGGCCGAACUGAACUCAGCAGAUGGCAAAGUGCUUGGAGCCACCGGGAGCCAAGGUGCAGAGAAUUCUGUGGAAGGAAGCUGGCUUGGAGCUUGGAAGCCGGGCAGCGAGGGCUGCUGGAACACAGAGGUACCCGCUCAUUUGGCAGGGGUGCCAGUGUGAGAGGAAGCGGGGCUCCUCUGGAAGCUGUGUCAGACAUCCCCCUCCUGCCCCAGGGCUUCUCAGAUGCCCUGGAGAGACCGAUGCCUCCCCAGCAGCCAGUCCAUCUGGGCUGGUGCUCAGGCAGCUCUGGGAGCGAGGAUAUUUUAGAUGUGUCAAAAGAGACGAAUGUUGGAAAGUGCCAUGGGCAUCUCUGGGAGCUCGCAGUUCAUGCUGGCAGCUAAGAUGUGCCAAGCUUUUUGGAAGAAACGGAUUCUGGAGGAAAUUGGGCAGUCUGCUGUCCCAGAUGUGGGUGGCAAUGGGAUGGGCUCUGCCAGAGGACAGAGCCCCAAUGGCAAUAAAGACGGGGCUGGGCUGUAGCAACGCCCGAGGUCUUGGCAGAAGGGAGUGGCAUUCUGACAGGCCAGCAGGGGCAGGAAGGAGCAGGAGCGUGUAGAUUUAGAAGCAGGCAGGGGCCUGAGGUUGGAGUCAGCAGAACUUCCAGCGGGCAGCAGCGGGGGCUGUGGAGCUCUGGCCUGUUCAGUUCCACUAGCCAGGAUGGAACAGGGGCAGCAGCCAGAGCCAGCCUGAGGCUGGAGGUGAGCCCGGGGCCUUCGCCCACAGUGAGGCUGGAACAAGGCUCCGGUGUGUCUGGAUGUGAAAACACCGCAGGGAAUGUGUUACUAGAAUUCAGCGUCUACCCCGAAUAUAAUGCAUCCUAAGCGGAGGGCGCCUUGGCGUUCUGUUUGCAUCAUGGCCCUGGUUAGCGUGUAGUGUCAUUGGUUCUCUGCCUCUGCAGGGAGAUGGUUCAUCCCAAGCUGGGGUUGGAGGAAGCUGAGGCAGUGGCCGGGAUAGGGAGUGUAGGGUCAGGCUUAGGUGAGUCACAGGGAAGGAAGGGAGUCAAAGACAAGGGAUCCUAAAUAUGGACCAGUGGGGUUGUGGGGUGGUGGGGGCACAGGACCCAGCUGGGCAGCCCAGCCUGUCUUCUGCUGCAUGAUGAAUGGGGCUGAGGUAUCAGGGAUGGAUGGAGAAGCUAGCCCCAACUCCACUUGCCCCAGGUGCUUUCUGAUGAUGACACAAACUCUCUUCUAAUUACUGUUCUUCACCACCUCCUGCCUCCCUGCAAACUCCCACAACCAGGAAGGAAAGAAAAAGAGCGAGAGAGAUGACAGAGAGAGCUCCUAGACGUCUUUGUCCUCCUCCCCGUCAUGAUUAUGAUCAUCGUCAUCCAGGCCCCGAGUUCUUAUAUAACCUGCUAAGUUGCUGAGGACUGAACUUGUCUUUCCACCUCCCGCCUCCAGCCAGCUUCUGCUGACUUCCUCAUCCCGCUCACACAUCCCUCUCUUCCAGGCACCGGCUCACCCCCGCUGAGUCAUCUUCCACUCCCCCUUCCUCUUCUUCCCUCCUACUGUCAGCAACUCUCUGCAGCAUGAACGCCCGCAACUGCUCCCCGGGAAAGAUUUGGUACAGCGAGGCACUACCGGGAGGAAGGGGAGAACAGAGGAGGGGCCUGCCCUCUUCACUUCUAACACCCACAGUCCCCUUCAGACGGUCAGGAGCCUCGGGCCACGAACACAGCAACCCUGGCCUCUGUCUGCCCUCUAGGAUGAGCUGCAGAAAGGCACCGACAGACAGCGAUUCUUAUGCUCCACCUUCAAAUGUAAAGAAACGGAUGCUAAGAGCCAGGGCUGCUGAUGCCGAGAAUAACUGUGGAGGAGACGCAGUACAGCACCCCGGUCUCCAGCGAUGAACUGUGUAAUCCAUACCAUGCUAUUCUGUAGAUAUGCAGUCUAUUGAUGAAGAGCUCUGCAAACAGGGGCAGCUCCGAAGCAAUCCUCCGGAGAGAACCUGGAAGGAACUGGAGAAGACAGAGAAAGAUGGCAGGUGAUGAAUCCUAAGUGCAUAGCUCUGUGAGUAUCGUGAGUGUCCAGUGUAGCCAGCACCAAGAUAAAGGCAGAGAACAUUUCUGUUUCUGAGACCUGUCUGCAGGCAACACCACCGCAAGAGGUAACUGUUCUGACCUCCAUCACUGAGAUCAGUUUUGCCUGCUCUUGACCUUCAAGUCAGUAGAUUCAUACAGCAGGUGCUCUUCUGGGCCUGGCCCUUCUCACCCAGCACUAGGGGAGAUUCAUCCGGAUUGUAUGUGCAGAGCCUGCAUCUGAACUCCUCUGCCAUUCUGCCUCUCAUCAUGUUAACGAUUCUAUGUUGCCCUCCAGAAAUGUUUCCUUGGAACGUGGCUUGGGUUUUGCAGAGUUGACUGGGCCUGAAGGAGUGGACUGGGACCACAGAAGCUUAAGUUAGGAGGGUGGCCCGGAAGAGAGCUUUUCAGAGAAUUCUCCGGGGCUGUUCUGUCUCUCACAGCCAAGUUCCAAGGUCCCAGACUCACUGCCAUCAGCACGCGUUGCUCUUUUGAUUUCGUUUCUCCUUUUGCAGAACAAACUUAAUCACUGCUGCUGUCUCAAACUCGUGGACAGCGUUCUCAGGCAUCAUUUCGGGCAGGGGUUUUCACCCGAGGGGUGAGUUUGCUCUGCUGUUAAUCCCCGACCUCGGGACAUUUGGCAUUUGGCAUCAUGGCAAUACCUGGAGAUAUUUUUGGUUGUCAAAACAGGGGGCAAGGAGCGUGCUACUGGCAUCUAGUAGGCAGAGGCCAGAGAUCCUGCUAAACACUCUUCAGUGCACAGGACAGGUUCUCACAGCUGAGAAUUACCCAGCACAAAAUGUCAAGUGUGCCGCCAUCAAGAAACCUUGGUCUUGGGUCAACACAGGAAGUUGGUGGCUGUUCUCUUUUCUGAUACAGUAAGAGAGGAGGCAGAGCAGAAUGAAACGAGCUCUUGACCAGGAGUCAGAGGAUCUGGGUUCAGGGCCCCACUUUGCACGAACUUUGUCUGACCUUGUUAAGACGAUUUAUCCUCCACAAGGCUGAUUUCCUCAUCUGUCACUUGGGAGCUGGGACACCUGCCUUUCUUACUUAUAGGCUUGUUGUCAGAAUCACAAGUGAGAAUGUUAGUGGAAUCUCUGUGAAAUGAUUACAUGUUAUUAUUCUAUUUGUGACAACGAACCAAACUUAUAUGGGUGUUUCUGUGUCUGACGUCAAUGGAGGAAUAGUUUUGGCAGGGUUUCUGUUUCCCCGUGUUCAGUUUCCAGGGUCAUAGCCUCCUUCUCACAUUUGUGUGGGAAAGGAGCUCACAUGCAAAGGGUGUUUCCUGGAACUGUGGGCAGGGCUUCAAACAUCCCUGCAAUUCUCUAAGCCCGCCACUCUCCACACUGAAACUUCUAGAAAUUCUUUUUUAAAUUCUUCUGAGAUCUCCGAUGGGGUUUGCUCCAGAAAAGCAAGGCAUUUCAGCGCUGAAGCUCGGAUUUUAUUUUGUCACUCACAUAAGAGGCUUAGCGCCGUUACCCCUCCUGGGUGAAGAUAUGCAGCAACGUCAGUCUGAUGGAAUACUGUUGAGCUGGAUGUGCUGUGUUACACAGUGGAAAGGGGGCAGGACUCUGUGAGAGGCAAGAGCCCUGGUGCUGUGCAAACUGGCACCGCAGUACCAUUAGGCAUUUGUUUAAACCUUGGAAAAUUUGCCUUGUGAAUACACGGGAGAGUGAGCUGGGCAGCAAACGGCUCUACCCCAACACGGUUGUGGAAGGGAGAGUCAGGAAGGAAUAGUGUGGGACACGGAUAUCUUGUCAUUAUAUUGUAACCAUUAACAACAUAAACCGGCUGGGCGCGGUGGCUCACGCCUGUAAUCCCAGCACUUUGGGAGGCUGAGGCGGGUGGAUCACGAGGUCAAGAGAUCGAGACCAUCCUGGUCAACAAGGUGAAACCCCGUCUCUACUAAAAAUACAAAAAAUUAGCUGGGCAUGGUGGCGCGUGCCUGUCAUCCCAGCUACUCGGGAGGCUGAGGCAGGAGAAUUGCCUGAACCCAGGAGGCGGAGGUUGCGGUGAGCUGAGAUCGCGCCAUUGCACUCCAGCCUGGGUAACAAGAGCGAAACUCCAUCUCAAAAAAAUCAAAAAACAAAAAACAAAACAACAUAAACAGUGUUGUUUGGAAUCAAGGGGCAAAUUUGCGCUACACUAAAGGCUGUUCUGGUCCCAUCUAAGAAAGUUGUUUUUUGGGUUUUUUUUUGAGACGGAGUCUCCCUGUGUUAACUAGGCUGGCGGGCAGUGGCGCAAUGUCAGCUCACUGCGACCUCCGCCUCCUAGGUGCAAACGAUUCUGCUGCCUCAGCCUCUGGAGUAGCUGGGAUUAUAGGCACAUGCCACCAUGCCCAGCUCAUUUUUUGUAUUUUUAGUAGAAAUGGGUUUUCACUGUGUUAGCCAGGAUGGUCUCGAUCUCCUGACCUCAUGAUCUGCCCACCUUGGCAUCCCAAAGUGCUGGGAUUACGGGCAUGAGCCACUGUGCCCAGCUCCUUCUAACAAAGUUUUAAAGCAAGCUUCAAAAAGGUCAAACUGUUUCCAAGUAAUUUAUUUCUUUUCUUUUCUUUUCUUUUUUGAGAUGGAGUUUCGCUCUUGUUACCGAGGCUGGAGUGCAGUGGCGCGAUCUCAGCUCACCGCAACCUCCGCCUCCUGGGUUCAGGCAAUUCUCCUGCCUCAGCCUCCUGAGUAGCUGGGAUUACAGGCACGCACCACCAUGCCCAGCUAAUUUUUUGUAUUUUUAGUAGAGACGGGGUUUCACCAUAUUGACCAGGAUUUAACUGCACCCCAGGACAAAGCUGAAGAACGUUUAAAAUAAUGCAGGAAUAUCCAGCACCAAUUAGGUAAAAUUCACAAUGUCUGGUAUCUAGUCAAAAAUUACCGGGCAUGCAGAGAAGCAGGAAAAUACAACACAUAAUGAAGAGAAAAAUCAAUCAAUCAAAACCAACCUAGAAUUGUUACAGAUGGCAAAAUUAGUCAACAAGAACAUCAAAACAUUUCUUCUAUUUCAUUUGUUCAGGAUGGUAGAAGAGCAUGGAAGCAUGCUGAGAAGAAACAUGGAAGGCAUAGAAGUCUACACUGAACUUCUAGAGAUUGAAAAAACAAUGUCUGAGACUUGAAAUCCAUUGGAUGGGAUGAAUAACAGAUUACACAUUGCAGAAGAAAAGAUUAGUGGACUCGAAGGCCCAGCCGCAGAAACCAUUCAUAUGAAACACAGAGGAAAAAGACGGAAAAUAGGUGAACAGAACAUCAGGGAGCUGUCGGGCAAUUUUAAGAGGCCUCAUAUGCAUGUCAUUGAAGAUUCCAAAGGAGACAAGAAAGAGGCCAGAAAAUAUGCCUAAGGAAAUAAUGCUGGAAUACGGUCUAAAUCUGAUGAAAACACUCAUGUGUAGAUCCGAGAUGAUCAAUGAUCUUGAAGCACAAACAACCUGAGGGAAACAAGGUCCAGAAUAAUCAAAUUGCCGAAAACCAGUGAUAAAAAGAAACUCUUUAGAAAAGCCAGAGUAAAAGGCCCUACUGCACACACAGCAACAAAGAUAAGAAUUCAACAGACAUGGGCCGGGUGCAGUGGCUGAAGCCUGUAAUCCCAGCACUUUGGGAGGCCGAGGCGGGUGGAUCACAAGGUCAAGAGAUUGAGACCAUCCUGGUCAACAUGGUGAAACCCCGUCUCUACUAAAAAUACAAAAAAUUAGCUGGGCAUGGUGGCGCGUGCCUGUAAUCCCAGCUACUCAGGAGGCUGAGGCAGAAGAACUGCCUGAACCCAGGAGGCGGAGGUUGCGGUGAGCCGAGAUUGCGCCAUUGCACUCCAGCCUGGGUAACAAGAGCAAAACUCCGUCUCAGGAAAAAAAAAAAAAAAAAAAAUUCAACAGACCUCUCCCCAGAAAGAAGGUCUACUGGAAGACAGUGGGGCAGCACCUUUAAGGUUCAAGCAGAGAUGCUCAGCAAAUCCCAUUGCCUUGGGCUCCUUGUAUGUUGGUGGAUGUUGGAACAAAAAUCUCAUCCUCAAAGCGUAGCCAGGUGUCAGCAAGAAGCACGGAGCACUGAUAUGUAGUGGUCCGACGAUGAUUACAGCCUCGUGUUUGGACUUGUGAGAGAAUAGACAGGAAGCGAGAUGAAGUAAUGGAAAAUUUCACAGUGAUACCAAGAAGAGAUCCGAGUUCUGGAACACACCGAAUACGUACUUUCCCUUAAAAGUGUCUUCCUGUACUAUCGGUCCCCAGCUCGACGAAUGACAUCCCCAAGCCGUGAACCUUAGGCACCCGUGACCCCUGCAUUUCUCCUGCCCCGUUGCCAGCCAGCUCGCUGAUUUUUCUCGAAAAUGUCUCCAUUUACUUUCUUCCUCUAGAUCUGAGUCAGACCCUCAAAACCUCUCACAAACUCCCUGUUUGACCCUGGGAAAGUUAUAUUACUCCUCUGGGUCUGAGUUUGCCCCUUUAUAGAAUAGGGAUUGGCUGACGGUCUCCAAAGCCCCUUUUUGUUUUUUAAAGUCUGGGUUUCAGAGAUAUUUUGUGAUAUGCAUGUAAAGACCUAUUUUGUAUCACACUAAUGAAGCUUGAUUCUGAUGGGGUUAUAUCCAGAGAGGAGGAGGUUAUAAGUUAUAAAUGUGCCCUGCGCAUAGGAGCUGCUCUAUGGUAUUUGCUGAGUAAAGAAAUGAGAGUUUAGGGCCGGGCGCGGUGGCUCAAGCCUGUAAUCCCAGCACUUUGGGAGGCCGAGGCGGGUGGAUCACGAGAUCGAGACCAUCCUGGUCAACAUGGUGAAACCUUGUCUCUACUAAAAUACAAAAAAUUAGCUGGGCACGGUGGUGCAUGCCUGUAAUCCCAGCUACUCAGGAGGCUGAGGCAGGAGAAUUGCCUGAACCCAGGAGGCGGAGGUUGCGGUGAGCUGAGAUGGCGCCAUUGCACUCCAGCCUGGGUAACAAGAGCGAAACUCUGUCUCCAAAAAAAAAGAAAUGAGAGUUUAAACCAAAGCAAACAAACAAAACCCCAUUCCCGCUGCAGUUAGCUCUGUUCUGUAGAACAGGAUCAGGUUCAUGGCAGGCCGAAUAAGGACCACCUCCACAUUUGUCCACAUCGUAAUCCCUAGAGCCUAGAAUAGGUGACCUGAUAUGGAAAAGGGACUUUGCAGGUGUGAUUCACUUAAGGAUCUUGAGGUGGGGAGAUUACCCUGGUUUCUUUGAACGGGACCAAUGGAAUCACAAGGGUUCUUAUAAGAAAGAGGCAGGAGGGUUAGGAACAGAGAGAGAAUUGGAAGAUGCUGUGCUGCUGGUUUUAAAGAUAGAGGAAGGGGCCGAAAGCCAAGGAAUGCAGGUGGUCUCUAGAAGCUGAAGAAGGCGAGGAAAUGGGUUUUGUCCUUGGAGUCAACACAGUUCUGUUUGACACCUUAAUUUUAGGACUUUUGACUUCCAGAACGGUAGGAUAGUGUCAAUUUAAGUAAUUAAAUUUGUAGUAAUUUUUUACAGAAGCAAUAAGAAACCAAUACACGGCCUUAUUUCUGCAUUAACUGCUUAAUUUUUUUGAGAUGGAAUGUUGCCCAGGCUGAAGUGCUGUGGCAUGACCUUGACUCACUGCGACCUCUGCCCCCUGGGUUCAAGCUAUUCCCUUGCCUCCGCCUCCUGAGUAGCCGGGAUUACAGGCAUGCACCACCAGGCUAAUAUUUGUAUUUUUAGUAGAGACAGGGUUUUUACCAUGUGUGCCUGGCUGGUAUCAAAUUCCUGACUUCAGGAGAUCUGGCUGUGUUGGCCUCCCAAAGUGCUGGGAUUACAGGCGUUGGCCACUGCACCCAGCCUGCAUUCACUUUUUCUACUUACUGGGAAAGGCGUCUAACCUUUCUGAGACUCUGCUCUACUUUAAAUCACAUAGUGUUAAAAAGGUCUUCUAUACGAAGCAAGGGUACAAUGAAAUAGUACAUAAUCCUAGUUGAAAUAAUAUAAAAUACUCCUUUCUACUACUGGUACUGCUAAUGCUCUGCAAAUGCCUUACAGAUAUGGUUUGGCUUUAAUCUCUAAACAUAUGGAGUGGUGAUUGCUAUCACCUUCAACAGACGCUAAAGGAAGACUUAGAAAGGGCCAGAAGCGUGCUCAGCCACACAGCUACGAAGUGGAGGAGCCGGAAUCCCCGUUCCAAACAGGUGUUCUGGCUUUUUCAGUUAGGCCGGCGCUGAUAAACUUGGUGCCGAUGGGGUCUUCUAUGAUGAUGUUUAUUACGGUUCCACUCCGUUCUCAUCCUCUCCUCAUGCCUCUUUCCUGUGACAACAUCCGACUGCUUCACUCAUCGUAGUCCAGCCUGUCACCGGCUCGUCACAGAAAGGAUUGACAUGCCACUAGUUCUGCAUUGCAGCUUUCUUGCUGGGUGAAGUUGGCAAAGGCUGCGGAGAUGUUUGUGUAUCUAAGAGCACAUGGCCGCAAGGUUUGGGAAUGGAAACACCCCUCCCACCGCGCCCAAGAGAAAUGUGCACGGUGAGGGGUUCUGGGGUUCUCAGCCUCUUGUGAGCGGGACAGGGAUGUAGAUGCCAGCUGCCUCGGCAUCUCCAGAAUUCUCAGCUGCACAACAGUGACCUGAGGGGGCUGCUUUGAGGCGGGUGUGGCAUUGCAAUACCUUAUCCUUCUAUUGGAGGGACCCGCUAAAGGUUUAAGUAGUCAGUUUUCCAAUCCUCAUCCUCCUUCUUCCAUUCACCCAUUUCCUCUUCCUUUUUUCCUCCCCUCACCUUUGAUUCUGAAUGUUUCCCUCCAUUGUUCUGCGGUCUGUCUGUUUUUAGGGGGCUGGUUUGGCUAACAGGAGUUAGGACCAAAAGGGCCGGCUCGGCAUGAGCUCUGCUUUCUGCAGCCCGGAGCGAUGGCUUGCUUUGAAGAUUGUUGAGACUAUUGGGAUUAAUAACAGUUGUUCUAAUAUUUUCCCUCAUUUCUGAUCAUCAAAGUGCUCGGAAGGUUUGAGCUGGCGCAGAGUUUCUUCUAGUUUGUCCUUGGGAGCAAGUGUCUGGAACACGGUUGGUUUAAAAAUGUUUUCUGAAGCUUGUUAAUGGGGCAGGCUGCAAAUUUACAUCAAGGGAGUGUCAUCUUUCAAAACAGCUUUUUGGCAGAAGGGGAUGUGGAAUUUUAGAGAAAUCUGAAUCUGUUAAGCUUCCAUUAAAUGAACUCCUUGAUUCCAGGCUGUGCUGAGUGGAAUCUGGGGAACGUAGGCUGUGAAUAAUUGACUUCCUCAGUGGCAGGAUGCCUGAGAAAGGUCAGGCGUCCUUCGGGAGGAGACAUCCAUCAGUUUGGUGGAGGGUUUUUGCUUUUCUGUAUUCCUCUGUGUCUCCUUUUCUAUGUACUUUUAAUUUUUUUCUUUGGUUAAUGCUUUGUGUUUUGCCCAAUAUAAUGGAGAUGAAAGCCUGAGCUUUUGUACUGGGGUCUGGAGGACGUGUGUGGAAUGACCCUCAUUGUCACAGGUCAUCAUUUUAUGGCUGUCAUCCUUCCUCACAUUGACUGUAAGUACCUUGAGGAGAGGGGUUAGGAUUUUACCUUACAUCCCCUUUCCCAGGCUCCACCUUCUUGUUCCGGGGUGCUGUUGCUCAACCCCUAUUUGGCAACUUAUUCCAGGGUGCCUACGUCUGCUGAGGCUCUGACCCUAUGACCAGGCCAGUUUAAGAUGAGUGGGACAGGUGUGAGACUCCAUCUGCCUUCCUGAAAGACUGCUGGAUCUGGAGAUAUUGCCCUGUGGGAUGUGAUCCCUGUGAUACUCUUUUCCAGGUAGCCUCACAGACCCACCCGGCCCGGGCCAUCCUUCUCACUUUCUCAUAUUGCCUCUGGUUCAAAGGCCCUGUCCCCAUUUUUCACGUCUAUUUCUGCCUCUGACUUGGAUGGACUUUGUCUCUUAAAAAGCAAAAACAAACAAACAAACAAAAAGCAAAAUAAAACACUGCAGAAAACUUAGAGAAAAACGACCAGGUGCAGUGGCUUAUGCCUGUAAUCCCUACACUUUGUUAGGCUGAGGUGGGUGGAUUAACUGAGGUCAGGAGUUCCAGACCAGUCUGGAAAACAUGGUAAAACCCCAUCGCUACUAAAAAUAGAAAAAUUAGCAUGUAGUCCCAGCUAUUCGGGAGGCUGAGGCACAAGAAUUGCUUGAAACUGGGAGGAGGAGGUUGCAGUGAGCUAAGAUCACACCACUGCACUCCAGCCCAUGGCGACAGAUUGAGACUCCAUCUAAAAUUAAAAAAAAGAAAAAGAAAAAGAAACUUUAGAGAAAACACCAAAAAACACCGAAGUAACCAACAUUACCUGUAUUCCCAUAGUCAGAGAUAACUAUUGUAUGCUUUCCUUCUAGGUUUUAAAAUGUAGUAAAAGUCUCCAUGUGUAUGUUUGAGCUUAAUUGUGUGUGUGUGUGUGUGUGUGUGUGUGUGUGUGUAUCAUUUAGAAUCCUGAUUUUUUUUUUUUUGAGACAGAGUUUUUGCUCUUGUCACCCAGUGCAGUGGUGCACGAUCUCGGCUCACUGCAACCUCCAUCUCCCUGGUUCAGGCGAUUCUCCUGCCUCAGCCUCCCAAGUAGUUGGGACUACUGGCAUGUGUCGCCACACCCGGCUAAUUUUUUUUUGUAUUUUAUUUUUAGUGGUGACAGGGUUUCACCAUGUUGGCCAGAAUGGUCUCGAUCUCUUGACCUGGUGAUCCACCCGCCUAGGCCUCCCAAAGCCCUGGGAUUACAGGCAUGAGCCACCAGACCUUGAAAGAAUCCUGAUUUUAUGACUCAAUAUUUUGUCUUGAAUAUUUCCCCAUGACAUUGAUAACUGGCAAGAGAGAAUUCUAAUGUGUGGUUGUAUCAGAAUUACAAUAUUUGAUCAACCCUUCACUACUGUAAUUUGAGUUAAAAUCACUGUUUUUUCCAAACGUAAAACACACUGUGAUGCAAUCCUGUUCACAGACCUUUCGCUACAUCCCAGAUUGAUUGUCUUUGAAUGAAUUCCUGGGAAUGAAAUUACUAGGUUAAAUGACAUCAACUUUUACAAGACUCUCUAUACCUAUUGCCAGUUGUCUGUUAUUGCCAAUCUAGGCUUUGCUCAUGUGAACCAGCAGGGUGCCCUUGUCUUCUGGACACAGUGAUAUGUGUCAUAUGUAUAGCUCUCCCCUGAGAACUUGCCUGGGACCUAAUCCUUGGAGUGUGAUAUUUAUCAUUCACGUUCCUGCAGCGUCUGAUGCCAUCCCUGGAGAGCCCCAUGGUAAAAGCAAUGGAAUGAAUUAUUGCCUACAUCUCCUUGAGUUAGGGCCCGGCAGAGAGUGAGGAUUCAGUAUCUCCUUUCGACCACACUCCCUCUGCAGGCAGAUCCCUGAGACUGAGAGGAAAGGAUGAGAGAACUGAAGGAUGCCUUGGAGUUGAGUGGACAGCUGAUAAUGAGUGAGUCUUUUCAAAAACCUCCUGAGUGGCAGUUAAGCUCAAGCCAUGCAGUGCCACCCAACAAUGCACCCAGGUCAACCGAAGUGAUGGCAAUAAGAGCACUUUUUAUCAAUGUCACAGUCGUGGCCUAGCCAAUAGCCUUUGUAAGAUAGACUCCACGUUCAAAGAUAUUCAAUAGGACAACGGUGGACAUUACACCUGAAGAAAUACCUUUCCUGCACCAGGAGGUGAGUGCUUGUCAUUUGUGUCUGCUACGCUGUGCCCAGCGCCUAGCACAAUGUUGGCAUUAAGAAGGUGCUGGAUACAUAUGUGUCGAGUAAAGGAGAAAGCGAUACAAUUCUGCACGCGAUCAUUGUAUGAACACUGGAGCUGGUUAAAGUCUUAUGGGAAUAAAAUACUAUAUAAAUAGCUUCUUUUUCUAACCUCUUUUUUUAAUGAUCCAAUAGAACCAAUGGUAUAAAAACCCGUUUCUUCUAAAUUUGUUUAGUUGGUGAUACCAGUUCUAAGAAUUAAAAAUUUGGUAAAUAUAAUAAUAGACAUCCAUUGACAGCACUCCUUUCAUAUUAUGUAAUUUUGAAUAACAGUUGUCUGAGUACAGACAUGAAAUAACUAGUAAUAGGGACAGAAGUGAUUCUUGGUCACCAAGCAGGGUAGAUUUGGGGGUACAGGAAACAAUUUCAUCCAUGUAAAUAAUGUGACGAAACCCCGAGUAUACACAGUGUGGCCGUUAUACUUUAGCAAGGCAUGAAAGAAUAUGGACUGUGUUGGUGAUAUGGGCAGUGAAUUUUGCAGGGAACAGUGGAAAAACAUAUGCCCAGAACAACUAUCAGGUUAGCACAUGGUCAUUUAAUCCUCACAGAAAUUCUUGGAGCGGAUAGCACUGGUUCAUUUUGCAAAUGGGGAACCUGAGACUCGGAGAGAGUAACCUGCCUGUAGCCAGUAGGUCGUUGCUCCAGGAUUCCAGUCUGAGUCUUCCUGAUUCUACAGCUUUUCCAGCCACUCUACGCUUACGCAGAAAACCUGAGAGCUUCGGAACAUCUGCUAGGAGUUAACGACCGCUUCGGAAGACUGGGACCAGCCCUGGAAUUGUCAUGGAGAAUGCGGCUCAUCAUCUGAGGAGGAGUCAAGCUGGUGAACUUGACCGAUUCUAUUCGAUCUAAACCAUUCACAGGGGAUGGAUAUAACUCAACAGUGAGGAGAAUGUGCGGAGUUGGGUACAACAGCAAGAGAGAAUUCUGAUGACACGUCCCCGCCGUUCCCUGCCCACAAACCCUUCGUUCUGCUUCAUUUCGCUCAGUUUUGUUCCUUCACUCUUUCAGCGGUUGUUCAAUUUUGAGCUACUGCACAAGGUCUGCUUUGAUACAGGACAAAUAGUUGGGAUGUUGUGAAUGAGGGAGCUUUGUCUACAAGUGUUACCCAGCAGAGAGUCUGGGUGAGAAGCCUGGGAGUGAGGAAAGGAGGAUGUAGAGAAGAAUGCUAAAAAAAAAAAAGUAGCAGGAGUGAAGGGUGGAGAAACCCAAAGCCUUCUCAUCACAGUCAGGUUCUUCCCGCACAGUGCUGGAGAGGGGAGAAGGACAUGAAUGGGAGGAAAAGGUCUCAAAACAAACAAACAAAAAAAACCUGGGACGAAUGAGAACCUCGUGGGGAGCUAUGUCGGCCGUAGGGGACUCCCCCUCAGCCCUGGCACUGAGUUUGGGGAUACAGGUUUGUUUCAGAGCGGAGUCGAUACAUCCAAAAUGUCCCCAUAUUAAUGGAUUUGUUAAGUUCAUAUACCAAUAAAGGGAUGGGGAGUCGGCCUGCAGGAGAGGAAAAGAGCCAGCUGGGAAAGGCAUUUCGUAUUUUAUCAAAGUAUGCGGGUAAGUGAUCUCUCCCCCUCCAAAAUGACCUCGGGGAGUAAAACUCGUGUUGGGGUCACUUGUCACGAGAGGAACUGGACUGGACCAAUCCUGCAGUAUUGGAUGAUUGGCUUAAUUUGACUAUGGUGUGGCCGUUGUUGGGGCUCAGCAACUGUUACCCCAAAAUAUGGUGCUUUGACAUGCUGAGCUAAGGAAGAGCCUCAGGGUCUCUCUGGUCUUCACCCCCACCCCCUACCCCCAGCCCCAUCCCUCCCAAAGCUCUGGAUGAAGUUGUUCUCUUUAAUCCUUAUCUGCCUGAAGUCUGGACCCACCAAAAAGAAAACAGUUACCUCUAGUCUCCUCCCUGAGUUUUCAUCAACUCAACUCAUCUCACAGGAAGAAACACUGACGUCUGUCGACACACCUGGACAGCUUUUUGUCACGAGCCAUUGGUGCCAUUCGGUAUUUUAAAGAGAUUCAUUUGUGAGCCAUCGUUUGCUCUGUGGUCCCAACAGACUGUUUGAGGUCACAGUAAGUUCUACAAGUCCACUUAUCUCCCCCCAAAAAUAAUUUACCAUCCCUCACAUUGCCACAUUUCCUCCAUCUCCCCUUCCCCUGUGAAGAAGGGUUAUUGGGUAAUUGUUCUCUAUGGAUCCUCAGUGCUAUGCUUGUUAAAAUAAAUUCAUAUGCCAUUUCUUUUACUAA